GAGCAAUUUGCUUUGAGAUGAGCCCGCGAGGGAUUAGCUAGUUGGUGAGGUAAUGGCUCACCAAGGCAACGAUCUCUAACUGGUCUGAGAGGAUGAUCAGUCACACUGGAACUGAGAUACGGUCCAGACUCCUACGGGAGGCAGCAGUAGGGAAUAUUGCGCAAUGGGGGAAACCCUGACGCAGCGACGCCGCGUGAGCGAUGAAGGACUUCGGUUUGUAAAGCUCUGUCGCAGGGGAAUAAUACAUUG
Molecule: ribosomal RNA, 249 nt
Filed under: uncultured Bdellovibrio sp.
Lineage: Bacteria; Pseudomonadati; Bdellovibrionota; Bdellovibrionia; Bdellovibrionales; Pseudobdellovibrionaceae
Description: partial 16S ribosomal RNA
Rfam family: Bacterial small subunit ribosomal RNA
Source: RNAcentral